UACGUAGGGUGCAAGCGUUAUCCGGAUUCACUGGGUUUAAAGGGUGCGUAGGAGGGCAGGUAAGUCAGUGGUGAAAUCCCCGAGCUUAACUUGGGAACUGCCGUUGAUACUAUCUGUCUUGAAUAUUGUGGAGGUGAGCGGAAUAUGUCAUGUAGCGGUGAAAUGCUUAGAUAUGACAUAGAACACCAAUUGCGAAGGCAGCUCGCUACACAUAUAUUGACUCUGAGGCACGAAAGCGUGGGGAUCAAACAGG
This 253-nucleotide ribosomal RNA is filed under the name uncultured bacterium. RNAcentral describes it as "partial 16S ribosomal RNA". It matches the Rfam family "Bacterial small subunit ribosomal RNA", at positions 524 to 776 of the family's 1533-position model. The record is from RNAcentral.